AGAAAAAUUAUAGAUAUUAUAAUAUGUUUGGAAAACUAAAUAUUGCCUUGAAAGUCCUGAGCUUCUGUCUGGCGAUAGUGAUUAUAAAAACUCAAGGAACUCCGAUAGAUGUUUACUUUUUAAACAAGUAUUAUGAUCUAAGAAACAAUAAUUGCAACACAUGCAAUGACAUGGAAUGUGUUGUUAGUGAAGAUGAAUACAAAUACUCCCCUCUUA
This is a long non-coding RNA of Eurytemora carolleeae, 216 nucleotides long. RefSeq lists it as uncharacterized. The transcript is spliced from 3 exons. NCBI's taxonomy places the organism in Eukaryota, Metazoa, Arthropoda, Copepoda, Calanoida, Temoridae. The record is from RefSeq and is a predicted model, not a curated record.